This 375-nucleotide ribosomal RNA is filed under the name uncultured organism. RNAcentral's name for it is "partial 16S ribosomal RNA". It matches the Rfam family "Bacterial small subunit ribosomal RNA", at positions 527 to 896 of the family's 1533-position model. The record is from RNAcentral.
GGAGGGAGCGAGCGUUGUUCGGAUUUACUGGGCGUAAAGGGCGUCUAGGCGGUAUGGAUAGUCGGAUGUGAAAUCCCUCGGCUUAACCGGGGAACUGCAUUCGAAACUUCCAAACUAGAGUACGGCAGAGGUAAGCGGAAUUCUCAGUGUAGCGGUGGAAUGCGUAGAUAUUGAGAAGAACACCAGUGGCGAAGGCGGCUUACCAGGCUGAUACUGACGCUGAAGCGCGAAAGCCAGGGGAGCGAACGGGGGAUUAGAUACCCCGGUAGUCCUGGCCGUAAACGAUGUGCACUGGGUGUAGGAGGUAUCGACCCCCCUUCUGUGCCGAAGUUAACGCAUUAAGUGCACCGCCUGGGGAGUACGGGCGCAAGCCUG